This 406-nucleotide ribosomal RNA is filed under the name uncultured bacterium. RNAcentral describes it as "partial 16S ribosomal RNA". It matches the Rfam family "Bacterial small subunit ribosomal RNA", at positions 30 to 526 of the family's 1533-position model. The record is from RNAcentral.
AUUGAACGCUGGCGGCAGGCCUAACACAUGCAAGUCGAACGAGUGGCGGACGGGUGAGUAAUGUCUGGGAAACUGCCUGAUGGAGGGGGAUAACUACUGGAAACGGUAGCUAAUACCGCAUACUAUCAGAUGAGCCUAGGUCGGAUUAGCUAGUUGGUGGGGUAAAGGCCCACCAAGGCGACGAUCCGUAACUGGUCUGAGAGGAUGAUCAGUCACACUGGAACUGAGACACGGUCCAGACUCCUACGGGAGGCAGCAGUGGGGAAUAUUGGACAAUGGGCGAAAGCCUGAUCCAGCCAUGCCGCGUGUGUGAAGAAGGUCUUCGGGUUGUAAAGCACUUUUAGUAGGGAGGCGUUACCAGCAGAAUAAGCACCGGCUAACUUCGUGCCAGCAGCCGCGGUAAUUC